This 253-nucleotide ribosomal RNA is filed under the name uncultured bacterium. Its description in RNAcentral is "partial 16S ribosomal RNA". It matches the Rfam family "Bacterial small subunit ribosomal RNA", at positions 524 to 776 of the family's 1533-position model. The record is from RNAcentral.
UACGUAGGGUGCAAGCGUUAAUCGGAAUUACUGGGCGUAAAGCGUGCGCAGGCGGUUCGUGAUGUCUGAUGUGAAAGCCCCGGGCUCAACCUGGGAACUGCAUUGGAAACUAGCGGGCUGGAGUGUGGCAGAGGGGGGUGGAAUUCCACGUGUAGCAGUGAAAUGCGUAGAGAUGUGGAGGAACACCGAUGGCGAAGGCAGCCCCCUGGGCUAACACUGACGCUCAUGCACGAAAGCGUGGGGAGCAAACAGG